AUUUCGUUAAUUUUUUACCUUUGCCUUAAGCUAAUUCCAAUGCAUACCUAAGACGUAUAGUAAAAGUACGACGCGCCCUCUAGUUCUUCCAGGUGCCGACAAAGAGAUAGAUUAUCACGCGAUUCCACGUAUACGCGAGAGAAAAAGGAAAUAGGAUGGCAGACUGGAUCAUGAGUUCUCGUAAAAGCAGACGGUAAGAUCAUGAUUCCUUGUAGAAGAGUCACUGGGCGAGGAACGAGGUGGGAGGGAUUGUGGACCUGAACCCUGCAGAGAUUGAACUCUUAUUCGGGGAAGUGGAUUUGAAUCCUGUAUAAGAGAUCCUUACCGAAUCGUCCUUCUCAUAAAGACCCAACGUCCAAGAGUCAGGAACAGCCAUUGCUAAAGAAGAAGUCAUCUUCUUUAUUCUUCAUACCCAAGAAUAGAGACGAUUCUCAGGAACGAACAGGGAUGGUUUGUACCGUUAAUUCACAUUGAUACCCAACCUUCCGGCUGAAACGUGCUGUAGAAUGCUGGUUACACGGGACGUCGUUAUUCAUCGUGGAAUAAUUCAUUUGCCGGCGACGCUGGCGACAUCUGUCGGAAGAAUAAGAUUUACCUUCCACGAAUCACGAACCCCGACCGUACCAACGGAUACUUCUGAUUGGUUCCUUAUGGAACCAGUACAACCCUUUGUUACGAACGGGGAGAGAAAUGACUCUCUGGACAACCCACGCCUCUGGCCCACCUUACUUGUACCUUCUUCCGGGAAUGGGAAUCAUCCACCAUGGGACAGACUUCAAAGAAUUAUUAUAAAUGAUCCUUGAACGAGUUUCUGUGUUUGUCAGGCUCCUUUGGAUACGAUCAAGCAAAAUUUUAUACGGGGAACUCGAUUUACUCGACCACCAGCAGCCGAGUCGUUAAUAAUUUUCUUAUUAUUUAAAACGAAUAUUUAAAACGAAAACGAACCAUCACAGUCGACAUCUGUAUAUGAAAAAUAUUGGAUUUUUAAAUAGUUUUGACAUUUUUAUCUGAAUUUUUUAAGGUGCUAAUUAUUACAAAUACAGUAAGUUGUUAAGAGAUAAAGGUCUUGGACGUUAUCGUUGUCAAUAGAAUUUCGAAAAAAUAUACCUGAUUUCGAGAGACAAGUUGAUUGUCGCGAAUUUAAAAUUCAACGUUUGUUUUUUAUUAUUCGGAAAAUUAUGUAAUGGCUUUUUUUAUACAUUUUUCAACAGUCAGCUGUUUUUUUAUACAUGUAAAUUUAUAUACUAUAUCCUCCAUAUUGUUCUUCGUUCGUGUUAUCACCGAACAGUGACAUAUAUUUUUUGACCUGCCGAAAGGUCAAUACGUUUAUAAUUUUACUCGUUUCGAGCAAUUAUUAAAGGGUGACGUCUUUUAUGCGUGUCAUGGCUUAUUAAGUGUGUCUGAUUAGAUCGCUAAUAACUUCCGGCUACAAUGGUCACGAUAAGGUACAUGAACAUUGUGUUCAACAUACAGAGUAACUCGUUGUCAGUUAAAGAUAAGAGAUUUUAAUCGCCGUUCUUGGGAUUCAAAAAUUGUGUUUGUACGGAAUAGACGAUCCUUCAGAUAUCUUAAUAUUCACGUAUUAAUUGUAAGUUGACGUCAUUGUUGAAUCACUGCAUCACGCUACCCCAAUGUUUACAAUGUUAUUCCAUAUUCAGUAUUGUUUUUACAAUGCUAGGUAGUCCACGACGAAUGAUGCGACGCAAUGACAGCAUGUCACUUUCGACUUUGAAUUUUCACUCCAAUGAUAAUAAACCUCUUAAGUCUUCA
Molecule: long non-coding RNA, 1770 nt
Organism: Cephus cinctus (wheat stem sawfly)
Lineage: Eukaryota; Metazoa; Arthropoda; Insecta; Hymenoptera; Cephidae
Exons: 3
Source: RefSeq, a predicted model, not a curated record